AUUUUCCUUUUUUUUUUUUUUUCAGGGUGUAUGCAUGUGUGGAAUUGGAUUGCAGCCCUUUGGUGCCCUGCAGUGAAUCUUCAGAUUUCACCAUUUUCUUAGUCAUUAAUGUAAAAAAAAUAAAAAAUAGAGAAUUAAAAUCCCAACGAGAUGCACAGCUCAAUUCUAGUAACAUCUUGAUUUAGACAGCAGAUGUAGCUUAUGGAAGAGGACAUAUUCAGGUUUGAAACAUAAAUUUUAGACAACAAAUUCUUCUCAAAUGAAACAGAAGCACAGGCUGCUUACACAAGAAUGACGGUUCAGAACUCCAUACUUACCUAAAGCAAUUACACAUUGUCAUGGAUGAAUGAGAAAGGAGCGCAAAUGAGAAAAGGCAUAGAUCUGACUAUGGUUCCUUCUUUAUCACACACAACAGGAAAACGGGGGAUUUUCAACCAAAAAUUGAAGUUGUUAGCAACAUUAGACUACCAGCAGCAGCCAAAGAUUGUAAUUAUCAUAAAUCACUCCAAAAGCAGGCUUAUCAAGCAGAAUCUAAAAAGCCAAAGCACACAUGGGGUAUUGGCUACAGUCGAAAUGUUAUGAUAAAAAUGCACAUAGAAAGAAACAGGGGUUUCAUUCCCUUGGCUAUGUGUAAGGAAAAUGGUAUAUUCUAGAGGAGGCAAGAAAGUUCUGGAAGGAUUGC
This 682-nucleotide unclassified non-coding RNA is filed under the name Hevea brasiliensis (rubber tree). The record is from RNAcentral. Lineage: Eukaryota; Viridiplantae; Streptophyta; Magnoliopsida; Malpighiales; Euphorbiaceae.